UUAGAACCUCUGCAAGGAAAACAAGACCAGGAAGAGAAAGUAGAUUACUGCAGUCAGGGUGAAGAACAGAUUGAAUUAAAACAGGAGACUGAUACCUGCAUGUUGGUUCCUGUUGGUGAGCAAACACACCAAACUGAAUCAGAACCAAACAGGAACCAAGUCAUCUUAACGGAAGCUGCUGAAGCUGAGAAGCAAAAUCAGGAAAAAAGAAAACCUUUCUCAUGUGUCAUCUGUAAAAAGCGUUUCGUUUUAAAAUCUGUUUUUGAUGCUCACAUGAGAACUCAUACAGUUCAAAACCUGUUUUCAUGUGUGAACUGUGGAAUAAGUUUUAGUCGAAAACAGAAUUUAACUCAGCACAUGAUGAUUCACACUGGUGAAAAGCCGUUUUCAUGUGGGAGCUGUGGAAAAAGUUUUAGU
Molecule: long non-coding RNA, 417 nt
Organism: Poecilia latipinna (sailfin molly)
Lineage: Eukaryota; Metazoa; Chordata; Actinopteri; Cyprinodontiformes; Poeciliidae
Exons: 2
Source: RefSeq, a predicted model, not a curated record